This is a long non-coding RNA of Culex pipiens pallens (northern house mosquito), 4344 nucleotides long. RefSeq lists it as uncharacterized. The record is from RefSeq and is a predicted model, not a curated record. NCBI's taxonomy places the organism in Eukaryota, Metazoa, Arthropoda, Insecta, Diptera, Culicidae. The transcript is spliced from 3 exons.
CACAUAAGGUACUGGGGUCCUUUUUCGACCCAAAACUUUAAAAAAUCGUCAAAAAUCCAGUUUUUGACCGAUUCCGGUUCUUUUGGUCACAAAUGAAAGCUAGAACGUCCCCUUUCCGAAACCGACCCGGAAAACCGGAUUUGGUCACUGUGGCCACCGGGAAUCGGCUACAACCGAAAAAAGGCCUUUUUGAGACCCCAACUUUGACGACCUGUAUCUCCGGCAAAUUUAAACCAAUCAGGAUGCUCCGGGUUGCAUUCGACAGGUAUAUACCUGUACUUUGACCACAAAUAUUAAUAUCAGGGCCAGGUGACCUACCGGUUCUGUAAAUCCGGAACAUCCGAAAAGUUCAUAUUUUACUGUUUUUCACGUAUAUGUGAUACCAAUACUCUCUUGAUAGUUGAAAUUGAUCCAUAAAACUUACUAAAAACACAAUACACGAUUGCCAGAACCACUCUGGAGUGUUAGUGGCCACUUCCGGGUAACCUGGAACCGGUUCCCGGGUACCCGAUGAACGGCCAAUUUGAUUUUUUUGUUGAAAACCCAUCAUGUCGCAUAUCAAACUUCAUGAAAUUGAAAGAUGUGUCCAUCUUUGGUAAUGCCGUUAAUCGCUGAGCCAUCCUGGCCAAUCUGGAACCGGUUACCUGUGGCCCCUUGGGGACACUUCCGGAAUAUGAGAGAAACCCUAUCAUCCGACAUAUCAAACUUCAUGAAAUUGAAAGAUAUGUCAAUCUACGGUCAUGCCAUUGUUCGCUGACCCAUCCUGGCCAAUUUGGAACCGGUUACCGGUGUCCCCUUGGGGACACUUCCAGAAUAUGAGAGAAACCCUAUCAUCCGACAUAUCAAACUUAAUGAAAUUGAAAGAUAUGUCAAUCUACGGUCAUGCCGUUGUUCGCUGACCCAUCAUGGUCAUUCUGGAACCGGUUACCGGUAGCCCCUUUGGGGACACUCCCGGAAUAUGAGAGAAACCCUAUCAUCCGACAUAUAAAACUUCAUGAAAUUGAAAGAUAUGUCAAUCUACGGUCAUGCCAAUGUUCGCUGACCCAUCCUGGUCAAUUUGGAACCGGUUACUGGUGGCCCCUUGGGACCACUUCCGGAAUAUGAGAGAAACCCUAUCAUCCGACAUAUCAAACUUCAUGAAUUUGAAAGAUAUGUCUAUUUACGGUCAAGCCGUUGUUCGCUGACCCAUCCUGGCCAAUCUGGAACUGGUUACCGGUGGCAUGGUUUUAUGAUUUCUUUUUGUUAGUUAUUUUUUUGAACACUCAACGGUUAUAUCUCAACAUUUACCAUCCAGUUUUGGUUGGCAUCCCAUCGCAAGAAAAAAAUACUUGUCUAGUGAUUUGUCUAAGAGCUUGUCUAAAAGUAUUUGUUUAAAGAACAGUUCCGAUGUUUGCAUGAUUUGUUCCUAAGAAGAGGCCACGAAAACAGUUGCAGAAAUUCGCAAAAAAAUGAAGAAAUUUCGAUGCUCCAGAUAGUUGUCUCGUGAGCAACAGAGCACACAAAAAAGCCAUUUGACAGAAAAUUUGCCUUAGGAAUCUAUUUCUGAUGGGGUGUCCAUCUAGAAAAAUGAAAAGUUUUGUGCGUUACGUGACGAUUCCCAUUUAGAUUCUCUUCCUGCAUGUGGUCUGCAACGCAACAAUUUACUGUUGCAUGAAAGUUUAAACAUUACAAGCAACUAAAAGCAGUGUGUCAAAUAUUUGUCUGCAUCCCCCUGUACGGUUUUUUUUGUUAUGAAAAGGUACAUAAAAAUCGACUAAAGUACCAUUUUUUAUACGUCAAUCGACGCGGCAGCCCUCUUCAAGAUCCUGUCAUUGAAAUAGUAAAAAAAACCUUUUCUUAAAAAAUACAAAAAUUGUUUACUAAAAAAGUAAAAAAAAUAGGUCAAAUAAUUGUCUGUAGCCCUAAAAAAACUACGAAAGCAGAUCCAUUUGAGUCAGUUCUUUAUGUUAAUAUCGAUGCUGUGUCGAAUACAAGUACUUUAAGCUAGUUUGUGACAGUUUUUAACUUCUGAUAACUUUUUCUAGUAAGUUUAUAUAACAAAUUGAUUAAAAUUUACUUUUUUAAGUAAAACUUUGUAACCUGCCUGCUGCAGUUUACCUUCGCAACAAUAGGAGUCUGCGAAUAAUAAGAAGGAUGCCCUAAGCCAUCCCAAUCAGGGUAAAAUUUGAUCCUUUGACUUCUAGAAGAUUAUUAAACCACAACACUUACAACGCAAACAAGAAGCCAAGAAGAAUCAUCAUCAUCAUCGAUCGCGGCUUCCUAGCAGCCGAUCGAUGCCGAUUGCGCGUUUACUCUCGCGAGUUUGUGAUCUCCCAGCUAACCGUACACACAUAGAGAACACAUGCACUAGAUAUUGGGCAAUUUAAAAAAUCGAAGGCCGAUCAUUGAUUGAUUACCCUAGCACAAAACACAAUCAGCACAUCCACCGAUCAUGUUUUAUGCUGAACACCACAUAAUCAUACCGGACCAACAUCAACCAUGCCAGCAUUGAUUACAAAAAAGCUUGGAUAUUUUCAAUUCUUAUUUGAAAGAAUGGAAAAUUACUUCAAAUGCUGCAAAAACUCAACUUAUUAUUUUCCCUCACAAACCCGACCUUUUUCCUCCGGUUUUUACUGUUUCAGAAAUGGUUUUUAAAUGGUAUUUUAAGGUUUUUCUUGCAAUUUUUAACCUUGCUGCUACUGUUUUACAAAUGGUUUGUAAAUGGUUUUUUAGGGGUUUUCUUGCUAUUUUUACCGAGCGCUACUAUUUUAGAAAUAGUUUUCAUAUGGUUAUUUAAGGUUAGUUCUAUAAUUUUCUCCCAGUUCCACUACCCACUCUAACUUUAGGGGGGCUGCGGGCGAUUAUCGGGCAUCGCCAGGGCCAGUUAAGACGCUUUAGUCUGGACACAAUCCUUAAAAAAAUGUAUAUUUGUUUUGCACACACACCAACAUAUUUGCUCUUUGCCGCUCUCACGCCACACAAUCCCCUUUCGUAACGCGACCAGCAACUGUCAAAAAAUUGCAUUUACACGUGUUGAGUCAUUCAUCACCAGAAAGCUCGCGAACGUUCCGGGACGCGUUCCGAAGUCAGAAGUCGUCCACUCAACGAUAAAAGAACCCGCGCCCGUGCGGUUUGUGUAACAAGUCCGGCGCCGAAGACCCGCAGUGAUCCGAUCGAACUUCCAGCGGUUACCACCGCGAAGAAGCAAUCAGUCAACCAGUUUGAUUUUCCGGGAAUCCCGUGCCCGGAACCAUCGUAGAUGACGUGAUCACACUUCUCGAACGCAACGACUUCCACCUGAUUUCCAAGAACGUCCGCCAGGGAACCGUCUCGCCCACCUCAUACAACUGGACGCGGACAAGCUGCAGCAGUACUCGUUGCCCGUGUUGUCGGAAUGGAGCAGGAAUCGGACACUGAAGGGGGACAGGCCGGCAAGAAAAUCAAUUAAGAAAAAGCCACGGCUGGGGAGUUGAAUCCGUCCCGCGGGAAGCGGGUUACGCCGGUUGAAAAAGACGUCGCUGACGUUUGCCAUUUUCGGCACCAGUAUGAACUGGAUUGGGGUGCAGCAGAUAUGGGGGAGGACCGGAGAAGCAGCAGCUGAGGCGAUUCAAAACGUCAACCGCAACCCGCUGUCACCCGUCUACCGACGACAAUGACCGCACCGAGGAACCCGCAAACGUGAAACCCCUCAUCAUUUCGCCCUCAAUACCGCGUCCGCUACCACAAGUCCAGCCCAACAAAGUGAAUCUCCUCUACGAGUGUGUCAUGCAGCAGCGUCCCCUCAAUCCAACGUCCCAGACCGUACCAAGCUGCCCGACGUGACGCUCGGGCUCUCCUCCCUGGGGGCAUCCUCGCCGUGGCGAGUUUAAAACGAAAACGUCCUGCCGCGAACGUUCUAUUUUCCCGCUCGAAGGACCUGCUGCCAUGGUAUGCGAGCGACGUCGUCGUUCGGGACACAAAAAAGAAGGGAAAAAACACAAAUUUAUGAAUACAAAAAAUACCGUCAUCAGGGGUGACAUUGGGUCUGGGGGUGAGAUUGGGUCAUUCAAAAAUGCUGAAAUUUGUAUGACCCAAUCUCACCCCCCAGACCCAAUGUCACCCCUGAUGACGGUAGCGUAAAAAUACACAAUUACGAAAAAAAAAACAAAUAUAUAAAAACACACAAAAGUACAAAGAUAAAACAAAACCUAAAAAUACAUCAAAUCUAAAACCACAAAAGAAAAGAUAAAAAUACACAACUACAAUACAAAACACAUAAAAUUUAAAAAAAGCAAAAAAAAACAUAAAAAAACGAAUACGAAUACACAAAAUACUAACAAACAAAAAUACAAAAGAAUAGAAAUACAAAAACUCAGAAUACAAAAA